Fundulus heteroclitus (mummichog) is the source of this 899-nucleotide long non-coding RNA. RefSeq lists it as uncharacterized. Lineage: Eukaryota; Metazoa; Chordata; Actinopteri; Cyprinodontiformes; Fundulidae. The record is from RefSeq and is a predicted model, not a curated record. The transcript has 3 exons.
AGAGCCAUAGAGCUAAAAAGAGUCGCGACACUCCCAUUGGACUCCGUUGUACGCUGUUUGCCGCCCACUUCCGGGGUAUGCAGCCUCGCAUAGUUCCAAAAAGCCAUUCUAUGGCGUCGGACAUCAUUCACUUCCAUUGCUGACUCUCGAGUAACUUCUGAGCUCCAGCCAGCAUAAACACCAGUGCAUGCGUCGCUUGUCCUUGGUGGUCAGGCAGCGUGAUGUUGCCAAAUAGCCUCCCCGUUCCCAGAUGGAGCUCCACGCCUGGAGUAAUGGACAUUUCAUCUAAGCGUGCGGAUGUUAGGCAGUGGAAUUUGCAUUUUCUGGAGGGUUUUAUAACCGGUGGUGCCAGUGGUAAAUCUUAUUUUUAUAGCUUUUUUGUCUCCUUUCCCCACCGUAUUCCUCUCUUCUUUUCCUGUCCAAGGGCUGUCAUUUGGUCUCUGUUAAACAUUUGGGUGAACUUCUGAUUAACUAAAUUGUUCCUCUUUCUUAGCGCCAAAUUCAUUCUUUUUUGCUGUGCUAGAGCCCUCUCUGCUCUCCUUCUCAUUAACUUCUCCAUUUUAAGUUGCCUUAUUAGGUCCUCCACAAUUGCACUAUUAGACCCUGGCAGUCUGGUCCCUGGAGCACCUGGCCCUGGCAAAGUUGGUUCAUCGUUGCGGGCUCCUGACUGACUGGCCCUCGGCACACACAUCCCUGGAUCACCUGCCCCUUGUAAAGUAGCCUCUUGGUCGCUCUCUCUGUCUCCUGUCAUGUCCCUUUCCUUGCCCUCAAAAUCCACCUCAAUUUCUCCCUCAACCUCUGUAACAAUAACAAGGUAAUGUUGCUGUUAUAUGUAUUUUGCAUUUGCACCUACUGUUAUCUUCAAUAAAAGGGUACACUACACGCCUAUAGAAAACAAA